RNAcentral lists this ribosomal RNA (454 nucleotides) under Porphyromonas endodontalis. RNAcentral's name for it is "bacterial SSU rRNA". It matches the Rfam family "Bacterial small subunit ribosomal RNA", at positions 28 to 471 of the family's 1533-position model. Lineage: Bacteria; Pseudomonadati; Bacteroidota; Bacteroidia; Bacteroidales; Porphyromonadaceae. The record is from RNAcentral.
GAUGAACGCUAGCGAUAGGCUUAACACAUGCAAGUCGAGGGGCAGCAUUAUUUUAGCUUGCUAAGAUAGAUGGCGACCGGCGCACGGGUGCGUAACGCGUAUGCAACCUGCCUGUAAUUAGGGAAUAACCCGGUGAAAGUCGGACUAAUACCCUAUAUUCAUCUUUCUCCGCAUGGAGAGGGAUGGAAAGAUUUAUUGAUUACAGAUGGGCAUGCGUCCCAUUAGCUAGUUGGUAAGGUAACGGCUUACCAAGGCAACGAUGGGUAGGGGGACUGAGAGGUUGACCCCCCACACUGGUACUGAGACACGGACCAGACUCCUACGGGAGGCAGCAGUGAGGAAUAUUGGUCAAUGGGCGAGAGCCUGAACCAGCCAAGUCGCGUGAAGGACGACGGUUCUAUGGAUUGUAAACUUCUUUUGUAGAGGAAUAAUGGCAGCUACGCGUAGCUGAGAU